CUAGAGUGGAAUAUUCGCGACAAUGGGCGCAAGCCUGAUGCAGCCAUGCCGCGUGAGGGAUGAAGGCCUUCGGGUUGUAAACCUCUUUCGCCAGGGACGAAGAUGACACUACCGGCCCGAAAACCACGGCCUCUUCCGCCACCACCCCGCCGUUAUAAUA
This 160-nucleotide ribosomal RNA is filed under the name uncultured bacterium. Its description in RNAcentral is "partial 16S ribosomal DNA". It matches the Rfam family "Bacterial small subunit ribosomal RNA", at positions 351 to 525 of the family's 1533-position model. The record is from RNAcentral.